AGGGCACCACCAGGAGUGGAGCCUGCGGCUUAAUUUGACUCAACACGGGAAAACUCACCCGGCCCGGACACCGUAAGGAUUGACAGAUUGAGAGCUCUUUCUUGAUUCGGUGGGUGGUGGUGCAUGGCCGUUCUUAGUUGGUGGAGCGAUUUGUCUGGUUAAUUCCGAUAACGAACGAGACUCUAGCCUGCUAAAUAGGCAGUGGAUUCUUAGUCCACUGUACUUCUUAGAGGGACAAGCAGCGUCUAGCUGCACGAGAUUGAGCAAUAACAGGUCUGUGGUGCCCUUAGAUGUUCGGGGCUGCACGCGCGCUACACUGAAGGAAUCAACAUGCUUCUCAACCUUGCCCGGAAGGGCUAGGUAACCCGUUGAAACUCCUUCGUGAUUGGGAUAGGGAAUUGCAAUUAUUUCCCUUGAACGAGGAAUUCCCAGUAAGUGCGGGUCAUCAGCUCGCGCUGAUUACGUCCCUGCCCUUUGUACACACCGCCCGUCGCUACUACCGAUUGGAAGUAGACGAGA
RNAcentral lists this ribosomal RNA (519 nucleotides) under uncultured eukaryote. RNAcentral describes it as "SSU rRNA". It matches the Rfam family "Eukaryotic small subunit ribosomal RNA", at positions 1161 to 1704 of the family's 1831-position model. The record is from RNAcentral.